UACGAAGGGGGCUAGCGUUGCUCGGAAUCACUGGGCGUAAAGGGUGCGUAGGCGGCGCGGUAAGUCGGGUGUGAAAUCUCGGAGCUUAACUCCGAAACUGCAUUCGAUACUGCCGUGCUUGAGGACUGGAGAGGAGACUGGAAUUUACGGUGUAGCGGUGAAAUGCGUAGAUAUCGUAAGGAAGACCAGUGGCGAAGGCGGGUCUCUGGCCCGGUACUGACGCUGAGGUGCGAAAGCGUGGGGAGCAAACAGG
This 253-nucleotide ribosomal RNA is filed under the name uncultured bacterium. RNAcentral describes it as "partial 16S ribosomal RNA". It matches the Rfam family "Bacterial small subunit ribosomal RNA", at positions 524 to 776 of the family's 1533-position model. The record is from RNAcentral.